Molecule: transfer RNA, 76 nt
Filed under: Pelagibacterium flavum
Lineage: Bacteria; Pseudomonadati; Pseudomonadota; Alphaproteobacteria; Hyphomicrobiales; Devosiaceae
Description: Pelagibacterium sp. YIM 151497 tRNA-OTHER
Source: RNAcentral
GGAGAGGUGGCCGAGUGGUCGAAGGCGCGCCCCUGCUAAGGCAGAGUGAGAAGAGAUUAUUUCCUCUUUCUUUUCA